GCCGAGGUGGUGGAAUUGGUAGACACGCAACCUUGAGGUGGUUGUGCCUAUAUGGUAUAGGGGUUCGAGCCCCCUUCUCGGUAC
This 84-nucleotide transfer RNA is filed under the name Candidatus Pseudomonas adelgestsugas. RNAcentral describes it as "tRNA-Leu". It matches the Rfam family "tRNA". From Rfam's summary of the family: Transfer RNA (tRNA) molecules are approximately 80 nucleotides in length. Their secondary structure includes four short double-helical elements and three loops (D, anti-codon, and T loops). Lineage: Bacteria; Pseudomonadati; Pseudomonadota; Gammaproteobacteria; Pseudomonadales; Pseudomonadaceae. The record is from RNAcentral.